GGAGAAAGCAGGGGAUCGCAAGACCUUGCGCUCUUGGAGCGGCCGAUGCCUGAUUAGCUAGUUGGUGAGGUAAAGGCUUACCAAGGCGACAAUCAGUAGCUGGUCUGAGAGGACGACCAGCCACACUGGGACUGAGACACGGCCCAGACUCCUACGGGAGGCAGCAGUGGGGAAUUUUGGACAAUGGGGGAAACCCUGAUCCAGCCAUGCCGCGUGAGUGAAGAAGGCCUUCGGGUUGUAAAGCUCUUUCAGCCGGAACGAAACGGUCACGGCUAAUACCUGUGACUACUGACGGUACCGGAAGAAGAAGCACCGGCUAACUACGUGCCAGCAGCCGCGGUAAGACGUAGGGUGCAAGCGUUAAUCGGAAUUACUGGGCGUAAAGCGUGCGCAGGCGGUUUUGUAAGUCAGAUGUGAAGUCCCCGGGCUUAACCUGGGAACUGCGUUUGAAACUACAAGGCUAG
RNAcentral lists this ribosomal RNA (464 nucleotides) under uncultured bacterium. RNAcentral's name for it is "bacterial SSU rRNA". It matches the Rfam family "Bacterial small subunit ribosomal RNA", at positions 199 to 644 of the family's 1533-position model. The record is from RNAcentral.